CAAUAGCGUAUAUUAAAGUUGUUGCAGUUAAAAAGCUCGUAGUUGGAUUUCUGGUUGAAGCGACCGGUCGGGCGUUGAUUCGUCUGCACUGGAGUCGGUUUUGGCCAUCCUCUAGGAAAGUGCGUCUGGUAUUAAGUUAUCGGGCGUAUGAUCCUGGUCUUUUACUGUGAAAAAAUUAGAGUGUUUAAAGCAGGCCUUCGCCUUGAAUACAUUAGCAUGGAGUAAUAAGAUAGGACUUUGGUCUAUUUUGUUGGUUUGCAGACCGAAGUAAUGAUUAAUAGGGAUAGUUGGGGGUAUUUAUAUUCCGAUGUCAGAGGUGAAAUUCUUAGAUUUUCGGAAGAUAAACUUAUGCGAAAGCAUUUACCAAGGAUGUUUNCAUUA
RNAcentral lists this ribosomal RNA (381 nucleotides) under uncultured eukaryote. RNAcentral describes it as "partial 18S ribosomal RNA". It matches the Rfam family "Eukaryotic small subunit ribosomal RNA", at positions 592 to 975 of the family's 1831-position model. The record is from RNAcentral.